Oncorhynchus keta (chum salmon) is the source of this 5838-nucleotide RNA transcript. It is a transcript of the gene named IgA FC receptor-like, with no coding region annotated. The transcript has 3 exons. Lineage: Eukaryota; Metazoa; Chordata; Actinopteri; Salmoniformes; Salmonidae. The record is from RefSeq and is a predicted model, not a curated record.
CCCAUUAGACUGCUGAACAGCUCCUACCCCCAAGCCACCAGACUGCUGAACAGCUCAUCAAAAUGGCUACCCAGACUAUUUGUAUUGAGCCCCUUUAUUAUUUACACUGAACCUUGCACUGGACUCUACUCACACAUACUACACUGACAGUUCCAACACACUGACUACAUAUGCUCACACACACUUAAUAUCUAUCCUGAUUACCAAGUCACUUACCUACAUUCCCUUCAGAACGUAUUCACACCCAUUGACUUAUUCUACAUGUUGUGUUACUGCCGGAAUUGAAAAUGGAUUACAUUUAGAUGUUUUGUCAGUGGCCAAUGGGGACUUUAAUACACAGUCAGAGUUUAAUGGUCAGAAACCUGAGUAUGGAUCAACAACAUUAUAGUUAUUCUACAAUACUAACCUAAUUGACAGAGUGAAAAGAAGGAAGCCUGUACAUAUUCUAGAACACAAAACACAUUCUAGAACAUGCAUCCUGUUUGCAACAAGGCACUAAAGUGAAACUACAAAAGAUGUGGUAAAGAAAUUCACUUUUUGUCCUGAAUACAAAGUAUUGUAUUGGAUUUUCCCCAAACAUAUUACUGAGUACCACUCCCCAUAUUUUCAAGCAUAGUGGGGGCUGCAUCAUGUUAUGGGUAUGCUUGUAAUCAUAAAGGACUGGGGAGUUUUUCAGGAUAAAAAAAUAAACGGAAUGGAGCUAAGCACAGGCAAAAUCCUAGAGCAAAACCUGGUUCAGUCUGCUAUCCACCAGACACUGGGAAAUGAAGUCACCUUUCAGCAGGACAAUAACGUAAAACACAAGGUCAAAUAGACACUGGAGUUGUUUACCAAGAAGGCAGUGAAUGUUCCUGAAUGGUCGUGUUACAGUUUUGACUUAAAUCUAUGGCAAGACCUGAAAAUGGUUGUCUAGCAAUGACCAACAACCAAUUUGACUGAGCUUGAUGAAUUUAUAAAAUGACAAAAUAUAUAUAUAUUUUUUAAAUGGGCAAAUGUUGCACAAUCCAGGUGUGGAAAGGUCUUAGAGACUUAAAUCUGUAAUCAAAGAUGCUUCUACAAAGUAUUGACUCAGGGGUGUGACUAAUUGUGUAAAUUAGAUACAGUUGAAGUCGUAUGUUUACAUAGACUUAGGUUGGAGUCAUUAAAACUUGUUUUUCAACCACUCCACAAAUUUCUUGUUAACAAACUAUAGUUUUGGCAAGUCAGUUAGGACAUCUACUUUGUGCAUGACAAGUAAUUUUUCCAACAAUUGUUUACAGACAGAUUAUUUCACUGUGUCACAAUUCCAGUGGGUCAGAAGUUUACAUACACUAAGUUGACUGUGCCUUUAAACAGCUUGGAAAAUUCCAGAAAAUGAUGUCAUUGCUUUAGAAGCUUCUGAUAGGCUAAUUGACAUUAUUUGAAUCAAUUGGAGGUGUACCUGUGGAUGUACACUGCUCAAAAAAAUAAAGGGAACACUUAAACAACACAAUGUAACUCCAAGUCAAUCACACUUCUGUGAAAUCAAACUGUCCACUUAGGAAGCAACACUGAUUGACAAUAAAUUUAACAUGCUGUUGUGCAAAUGGAAUAGACAACAGGUGGAAAUUAUAGGCAAUUAGCAAGACACCCCCAAUAAAGGAGUGGUUCUGCAGGUGGGGACCACAGACCACUUCUCAGUUCCUAUGCUUCCUGGCUGAUGUUUUGGUCACUUUUGAAUGCUGGCAGUGAUUUCACUCUAGUGGUAGCAUGAGACGGAGUCUACAACCCACACAAGUGGCUCAGGUAGUGCAGCUCAUCCAGGAUGGAAUAUCAAUGCGAGCUGUGGCAAGAAGGUUUGCUGUGUAUGUCAGCGUAGUGUCCAGAGCAUCGAAGCGCUAAAAGGAGACAGGCCAGUACAUCAGGAGACGUGGAGGGCAACAACCCAGCAGCAGGACCGCUACCUCCGCCUUUGUGCAAGGAUGAGCACUGCCAGAGCCCUGCAAAAUGACCUCCAGCAGGCCACAAAUGUGCAUGUGUCUGCUCAAACGGUCAGAAACAGACUCCAUGAGGGUGGUAUGAGGGCCCGACGUCCACAGGUUGGGGUUGUGCUUACAGCCAAACACCGUGCAGGACGUUUGGCAUUUGCCAGAGAACGCCACGUUGCACCACAGACUGUCCAGGAGUUGGCGGAUGCUUUAGUCCAGGUCUGGGAGGAGAUCCCUCAGGAGACCAUCUGCCACCUCAUCAGGAGCAUGCCCAGGUAUUGUAGGGAGGUCAUACAGGCACGUGGAGGCCACACACACUACUGAGCCUCAUUUUGACUUGUUUUAAGGACAUUACAUCAAAGUUGGAUCAGCCUGUAGUGUGGUUUUCCACUUUAAUUUUGAGUGUGACUCCAAAUCCAGACCUCCAUGGGUUGAUACAUUUGAUUUACAUUGAUCAUUUGUGUGAUUUUGUUGUCAGCACAUUCAACUAUGUAAUGAAAAAAGUAUUCAAUAAGAAUAUUUCAUUGAUUCAGAUGUAGGAUGUGUUAUUUUAGUGUUCCCUUUAUUUUUUUUAGCAGUGUAUUUCAAGGCCUACCUUCAAACUCAGUGCCUCUUUGCUUGACAUCAUGGGGAAAAUCAAAAGAAAUCAGCCAAGACCUCAGAAUUAUUUUUUUGUAGAGCUCCACAAGUCUGGUUCAUUCUUGGGAGCAAUUUCCAAACACCUGAAGGUACCACGUUCAUCUGUACAAACAAUCGUACGCAAGUAUAAACACCAUGGGACCAUGCAGCCAUCAUACCGCUCAGGAAGGAGACGCGUUCUGUCUCCUAGAGAUGAACGUACUUUAGUGUGAAAAGUGCAAAUCAAUCCCAAAACAACAGCAAAAGGACCUUGUAAAGAUGCUGUAGAAAACAGGUACAAAAGUAUCUAUAUCCACAGUAAAAUUAGUCCUAUAAUUGACAUAACCUGAAAGGCUGCUCAGCAAGAAAGAAGCCACUGCUCCAAACCACCAUAAAAAAGCCAGACUACGGUUUGCAACUGCACAUGGGGGGGGGCAAAGAUUGUACUUUUUGGAGAAAUGUCCUCUGGUCUGAUGAAACAAAAAGAGAAUGUUUGGCCAUAUUGACCAUCAUUAUGUUUGGAGCAAAAAGGGGGAGGCUUGUAAGCCAAAGAACACCAUCCCAACCGUGAAGCACGGGGGUGCUUUGCUGCAGGAGGGACUGGUGCUCUUCACAAAAUAGAUGGCAUCAUGAGGCAGAAAAAUUAUGUGGAUAUAUUGAAGCAAUAUCUCAAGACAUCAGUCAGGAAGUUAAAGCUUGGUCGCAAUGGAUCUUCCGAAUGGACAAUGACCCCAAGCAUACUUCCAAAGUUAUGGAAAAAGGUCAACAAAGUCAAGGUAAUGGAGUGGCCAUCACAAAGCCCUGACCUCAAGCCUAUUGAUAAUUUGUGGGCAGAACUGAAAAAGCAUGUGCGAGCAAGGAGGCCUACAAACCUGACUCAGUUACACCAGCUCUAUCAGAAGGAAUGGGCCGCAAUUCACCCAACUUAAUGUGGGAAGCUUGUGGAAGGCUACCAGAAACAUUUGACCCAAGUUAAACAAUUUAAAGGCAAUGCUACAAAAUACUAAUUGAGUGUAUGUAAACUUCUGACCCACUGGGAAUGUGAUGAACGAAAUAAAAGCUUAAAUAAAUCAUUCUCUCUACUAUUAUUCUGACAUUUCACAUUCUUAAAAUAAAAAGGAGGUGAUCCUAACUGAUAGAUGGGUGAGAUUAUUUUAUCCAUUUUGAAUCCCGGCUGUAACAACAAAAUGUGGAAUAAGUCAAGGGGUAUGAAUACUCCGAAGGCCCCGGAGACUCCGAAGGCCCCGGAGACUCCGAAGGCCCCGGAGACUCCGAAGGCCCCGGAGACUCCGAAGGCCCCGGAGACUCCGAAGGCCCCGGAGACUCCGAAGGCCCCGGAGACUCCGAAGGCCCCGGAGACUCCGAAGGCCCCGGAGACUCCGAAGGCCCCGGAGACUCCGAAGGCCCCGGAGACUCCGAAGGCCCCGGAGACUCCGAAGGCCCCGGAGACUCCGAAGGCCCCGGAGACUCCGAAGGCCCCGGAGACUCCGAAGGCCCCGGAGACUCCGAAGGCCCUGUACAUGUGAAUAUUACAUCAAUUAUCUUAACCUGGUAUCUCUGCACAUUGACUCCGUACUGGUGUGUGUGUGUAUAUAUUAGUACUCUGCAUAGUUGGGAAAAGGCUCAUAACUAAGCAUUUCAUGGUUAAGUCUACACCUGUUGUAUUCGGCGCAUGUGACAAAAUGUAACUUUACAUCAGAAAAAUUUGCACACAGAAGAAGUUAUUAGGAUAAUUCAGUUGCUACUGGCAGCCUGCAGUACCCCGGUUGGCCUUCAACUUGAGAUACUCAAUGAGAGGGGGCAGCACUGAGCUAGCCCGCAAAGUCACUUCCUGGAGUAGCUCACUCUACAUGUUAUGUCUACAUACAUAUUUGAUUUCCUUGGCUUCAAAUGAGCUAUUUUGAGUCCAUUGUGUCACAACAGACUGGUGAGAAAUACUCAUCGGACCGUGGCUGAGUGGGCUGGAGCGGUUCUCCUCCACGCUGACAUGCACGUGUUCCCAGCAGUGAAGAACGGACACUCACUCACUCACACACCCCCACACACACACACACCCCCACACCCACACCCACCCACUCACUCACACACCCCCACACCCACACUCACCAACACACACCAAAAAUGUUGUGUACGUUGUUGUGUUUGUAUACGUCUUGAGGACGUUGUUGGGUCUGUACUAGGUUUCUGUCUGUUGUCACCUGUACAUGGUUGGGUCUGUACUAGGUUUCUGUCUGUUGUCACCUGUACGUUGUUGGGUCUGUACUAGGUUUCUGUCUGUUGUCACCUGUACGUGGUUGGGUCUGUACUAGGUUUCUGUCUGUUGUCACCUGUACGUGGUUGGGUCUGUACUAGGUUUCUGUCUGUUGUCACCUGUACGUGGUUGGGUCUGUACUAGGUUUCUGUCUGUUGUCACCUGUACGUUGUUGGGUCUGUACUAGGUUUCUGUCUGUUGUCACCUGUACGUGGUUGGGUCUGUACUAGGUUUCUGUCUGUUCUCACCUGUACGUUGUUGGGUCUGUACUAGGUUUCUGUCUGUUGUCACCUGUACAUGGUUGGGUCUGUACUAGGUUUCUGUCUGUUGUCACCUGUACGUUGUUGGGUCUGUACUAGGUUUCUGUCUGUUGUCACCUGUACGUGGUUGGGUCUGUACUAGGUUUCUGUCUGUUCUCACCUGUACGUUGUUGGGUCUGUACUAGGUUUCUGUCUGUUCUCACCUGUACGUGGUUGGGUCUGUACUAGGUUUCUGUCUGUUGUCACCUGUACGUUGUUGGGUCUGUACUAGGUUUCUGUCUGUUCUCACCUGUACGUGGUUGGGUCUGUACUAGGUUUCUGUCUGUUGUCACCUGUACGUGGUUGGGUCUGUACUAGGUUUCUGUCUGUUGUCACCUGUACGUUGUUGGGUCUGUACUAGGUUUCUGUCUGUUCUCACCUGUACGUGGUUGGGUCUGUACUAGGUUUCUGUCUGUUGUCACCUGUACGUUGUUGGGUCUGUACUAGGUUUCUGUCUGUUCUCACCUGUACGUGGUUGGGUCUGUACUAGGUUUCUGUCUGUUGUCACCUGUACGUGGUUGGGUCUGUACUAGGUUUCUGUCUGUUGUCACCUGUACGUUGUUGGGUCUGUACUAGGUUUCUGUCUGUUCUCACCUGUACGUUCUCAAUCUUGGACUUGGCGAGCAGCAACUUCUUAUCGUAAUCCCGCUGCCUCUGUUCUCGCUCCGCCUCUAACUCCUGCACGGCCUUCUGGGAGUCCGCUAGCCGCUGACGCAGGUCUGUG